This is a long non-coding RNA of Ornithodoros turicata, 271 nucleotides long. RefSeq lists it as uncharacterized. Lineage: Eukaryota; Metazoa; Arthropoda; Arachnida; Ixodida; Argasidae. The transcript has 3 exons. The record is from RefSeq and is a predicted model, not a curated record.
UACCCACAACAGUCGCCGCAGCGAUCAUGGCAACUUCUUGCAAUUACGGUCGUACCAACCGUACUGGCAAGGAUACAGGGCCUAAAUUUAUACAGGUUUCGUCAUGAGGGCUACCCAGUGAAUAAUCUGUGCAGUGUGAUACGGCUGGGUGUACAGGUUACUUCACGGCUGCCUCGACAUACUCAAGAAAUGGGUGCAGAACCUGCGUAAUGCCCACAAACUUUGACUACCACAGCACCUCCAGAAAGUAAAGGCAUAUGUGUCACAUGGG